RNAcentral lists this ribosomal RNA (253 nucleotides) under uncultured bacterium. RNAcentral's name for it is "partial 16S ribosomal RNA". It matches the Rfam family "Bacterial small subunit ribosomal RNA", at positions 524 to 776 of the family's 1533-position model. The record is from RNAcentral.
UACGAAGGGGGCUAGCGUUGCUCGGAAUCACUGGGCGUAAAGGGUGCGUAGGCGGGUUUUUAAGUCAGAGGUGAAAUCCUGGAGCUCAACUCCAGAACUGCGUUUGAUACUGAAAGUCUUGAGUAUGGGAGAGGUGAGUGGAACUGCGAGUGUAGAGGUGAAAUUCGUAGAUAUUCGCAAGAACACCAGUGGCGAAGGCGGCUCACUGGCCCAUAACUGACGCUGAGGCACGAAAGCGUGGGGAGCAAACAGG